RNAcentral lists this transfer RNA (70 nucleotides) under Zootermopsis nevadensis. It matches the Rfam family "tRNA". Rfam says of the family: Transfer RNA (tRNA) molecules are approximately 80 nucleotides in length. Their secondary structure includes four short double-helical elements and three loops (D, anti-codon, and T loops). Further hydrogen bonds mediate the characteristic L-shaped molecular structure. tRNAs have two regions of fundamental functional importance: the anti-codon, which is responsible for specific mRNA codon recognition, and the 3' end, to which the tRNAs corresponding amino acid is attached (by aminoacyl-tRNA synthetases). tRNAs cope with the degeneracy of the genetic code in two manners: having more than one tRNA (with a specific anti-codon) for a particular amino acid; and 'wobble' base-pairing, i.e. permitting non-standard base-pairing at the 3rd anti-codon position. Lineage: Eukaryota; Metazoa; Arthropoda; Insecta; Blattodea; Termopsidae. The record is from Rfam by way of RNAcentral.
GCCAUGGUGGUAUAGCGGUCAGAACACUAGCCUUGUAAGCUUGGGGUCCCUGGUUCAAUUCCCGGUGGUG